This is a long non-coding RNA of Haemorhous mexicanus (house finch), 670 nucleotides long. RefSeq lists it as uncharacterized. The record is from RefSeq and is a predicted model, not a curated record. Lineage: Eukaryota; Metazoa; Chordata; Aves; Passeriformes; Fringillidae. The transcript has 3 exons.
GUCAGUGACCAGAAAAUAUAUAUCUCAACCUUUUAGAGAAAUAACAUAAGAAAACUUGAGUUUGACACAAUAGCUUUCAAGUCAAGAGCCUGAGGAACAGUAUAAGAAAAAGGGAUGGUGGACACCAUGCAGAUAGCUGUGUUGAAAAAGACUAAAGAUUAAUGGGGACAGGAUUAACUUGAAUGUGGGAGAGUGGGUCCACAUUUGCAGUUGGCUGGUGAAUGACUUGAAGUAGCCGAUGGAGCUCUGUGGGAAGCCUGAGCCAAAGCAAGGUUGUUCACAGAAGUCUUUGAGUGGAGAGAUGUGAAAAAUAAAGUUGUAUGUUUCUUUAUGAAGAAAAGAAGAGAUAAAGUAGGGAAUGUUUCUCUGCAGCAUACUGUUUAUAGACUAGUUUCCUCUAUUUCAUAGCAUUAUAGAAAAGCUGUUCCACAUGCUUACCUUUGUUGGAUUUUGCCUUGGAUUGGAAUACUCUUUUCAAGAUUACAAACAUAUUUGUCACUCAGGAAACUGGUCUCUGGAAACUUCCUCCUGGAUCGGGCUCUAUGGUGUCUGUGGAUAGUAAUGCCACCUUGUGGAUCUUGAGAGUCGUAAGUCUCUAGGCGUUCACUAACCAAGCCUUAAGACUUUGCUACGUCUGUGAGGCUCAAAAACACACGUCACUUACUCAAGU